This 329-nucleotide unclassified non-coding RNA is filed under the name soil metagenome. Its description in RNAcentral is "partial contains 5.8S ribosomal RNA, internal transcribed spacer 2, and large subunit ribosomal RNA". The stretch from base 1 to 120 matches the Rfam family "5.8S ribosomal RNA", at positions 35 to 154 of the family's 154-position model. The record is from RNAcentral.
GAUGAAGAACGCAGCGAAAUGCGAUAAGUAAUGUGAAUUGCAGAAUUCAGUGAAUUAUCGAAUCUUUGAACGCACAUUGCGCCCCUUGGUAUUCCGAGGGGCAUGCCUGUUCGAGCGUCAUUAUAACCCCUCAAGCUCAGCUUGGUGUUGGGGCCUGCUGCACUGGCAGCCCUUAAAAUCAGUGGCGGUGCCAUCUGGCUCUAAGCGUAGUAAUUCUUCUCGCUAUGGAGUCCUGGUGGAUGCUUGCCAUCAACCCCCAAUUUUUCUAUGGUUGACCUCGGAUCAGGUAGGGAUACCCGCUGAACUUAAGCAUAUCAAUAAGCGGAGGA